Long non-coding RNA from Suricata suricatta (meerkat), 469 nucleotides. RefSeq lists it as uncharacterized. NCBI's taxonomy places the organism in Eukaryota, Metazoa, Chordata, Mammalia, Carnivora, Herpestidae. The record is from RefSeq and is a predicted model, not a curated record. The transcript is spliced from 2 exons.
UCUCCUUGUUCUUGUCGGCUAGCAUGCAAGCCCAGAGGUACAAUCAGGCAUGUCGCCACUUCAUGGAGAAAGCCCCGCCUGAGAAAGAAGCCAAUAUGGAUGAUAUCAGUGUUGAGAGACAGAGGGAGGAAAACCGUGUCUUGAUAAUAUCUGGAGUCUGAUAUCUUGAGCCCCUGGAGUAUGAAGACAAAAGAAACUGCCUUAUGGAGGAGGGGACUGGUGAAAACGUCAUCAAAGCUCAGCACAAGGUACAAAGAAGCAUUUACAUACCUGCAGCACUCUCUCUGUUUCCUGAUUUUGCAGAUAUUUGCAGCAAUGACUUAACCUUCCUGAGCCUCACUACCUCCAUCUGACAAAGGGGCACAGGAGAACCUGCUUUCUUUACUUCCCGGUGUUGUUAAGAAUGUGAACUGAAAAAGUCGAAGCAAUCAUGCUUUAAACAUAAAAUAAAAUGACUAUAUCUCCUGCA